AUACGAAAGGUGCAAGCGUUGUUCGGAUUUACUGGGCGUAAAGAGAUCGUAGGUGGUUUAUUAAGUCGGAUGUGAAAUCCCGGGGCUCAACCCCGGAACUGCAUUCGAUACUGGUAGACUAGAGUUUGGGAGGGGUAAGCGGAAUUCCGUGUGUAGCAGUGAAAUGCGUAGAUAUAAGGAGGAACACCUGAGGCGAAGGCGGCUUACUGGACCAAUACUGACACUGAGGAUCGAAAGCGUGGGUAGCAAACAGGAUUAGAAACCCUAGUAGUCC
This 274-nucleotide ribosomal RNA is filed under the name uncultured bacterium. RNAcentral's name for it is "partial 16S ribosomal RNA". It matches the Rfam family "Bacterial small subunit ribosomal RNA", at positions 523 to 796 of the family's 1533-position model. The record is from RNAcentral.